RNAcentral lists this long non-coding RNA (5802 nucleotides) under Pan troglodytes (chimpanzee). RNAcentral describes it as "lncRNA (ENSPTRG00000054362.1)". Lineage: Eukaryota; Metazoa; Chordata; Mammalia; Primates; Hominidae. The record is from RNAcentral.
AGGUGGGGUACUUGUGGGAUUGUCUCGGUGGUGGUGUUGAAGACNNNNNNNNNNNNNNNNNNNNNNNNNUUUUUUUUUUUGAGGUGGAGUCUCGCACUCUCACCCUGGCUGGAGUGCAAUGGUGCGAUCUUGGGUCACUGCAACCUCCACCUCCCGGGUUCACAUGAUUCUCUUGCCUCAGCCUCCCAAGUAGCUGGGAUUACAGGUGCACACCAUGACACCCGGCUAAUGUUUUGUAUUUUUAGUAGAGACGGGUUUUCACUAUGUUGGCCAGACUGGUCUCGAACUACUGAUUUUGUGAUCCACCUGCCUCGUCCUCCCAAAGUGUUGGGAUUACAGGCGUGAGCCACGGCACCCGGCCGGGGAGGGGAAUUGAAGGGUCUUCCCUGGAGCUGGGGUUGGGUGUCUGGGUCCCCUCAGAUCUGCAGGUUCGGACCUGAGCCCAGGGAUCCUUGGUGUUUCAGAUGCAGAAGAUUUUUGCAGACAUGCAGGGCUUCACCUUCAAGGGUGUGGAGAUCCUGUCCCUGAGGAAUGGCAGCAUCGUGGUGGACUACCUGGUCCUGCUGGAGAUGCCCUUCAGCCCCCAGCUGGAGAGCCAGUACGAGCAGGUGAAGACCACGCUGAAGGAGGGGCUGCAGAACGCCAGCCAGGAUGCGAACAGCUGCCAGGACUCCCAGACCCUGUGUUUUAAGCCUGACUCCGUCAAGGUGAACAACAACAGCAAGACAGAGCUGACCCCGGAAGCCAUCUGCCGCCGCGCCGCUCCCACGGGCUAUGAAGAGUUCUACUUCCCCUUGGUGGAGGCCACCCGGCUCCGCUGUGUCACCAAAUGCACGUCGGGCGUGGACAACGCCAUCGACUGUCACCAGGGCCAGUGCGUUCUGGAGACGAGCGGUCCCGCGUGCCGCUGCUACUCCACCGACACGCACUGGUUCUCUGGCCCGCGUUGCGAGGUGGCCGUCCACUGGAGGGCGCUGGUCGGGGGCCUGACGGCCGGCGCCGCGCUGCUGGUGCUGCUGCUGCUGGCGCUGGGCGUCCGGGCGGUGCGCUCCGGAUGGUGGUGCGGCCAGCGCCGAGGCCGGUGAGCGCGCGGGGGGCGGGGCCGGGGGGCGAGGGCGGCCAAGGGGGUCCCAGGCGGGCCGGCUCUGUCUGACCGCGCGGCGGCCCCACCUAGGUCCUGGGACCAGGACAGGAAAUGGUUCGAGACCUGGGAUGAGGAAGUCGUGGGCACUUUUUCAAACUGGGGUUUCGAGGACGAAGGAACAGGUGAGUCCUGCCUCCUGAGGAAGCAGGCCGGGGCUUUCUUGGGCACCACUGCGAGGACAGACGCCCUCCCUGCCUUCCUCGCAUUUACUCUGUCCCCCUCUCCCUUCUGUCCCCUCCCUCUCCCCUUCUCUUUCUCCCCUCCUCUUUCUCCCCUCCUCUCUCUCUAGACAAGGAUACAAAUUUCUAUGUGGCCUUGGAGAACGUGGACACCACUAUGAAGGUGAGGGGCUAAAGAGGGGGACCCCAAGGAACUCUCCCAGCCUCCAUUCCAGAAUCCCUCCCCGACCCCCACCAGGGCAGGGAGGGGGCUGGGCUCGGAUCAGCAGUGACCUCCCUGUCAGCCCAAACCAGUGGCUUCGCGUUCCCGUCCCUCACUGUGACUCUGACAGGUGCACAUCAAGAGACCCGAGAUGACCUCCUCCUCAGUGUGAGCCCUGCGGGGCCCCUUCACCACCCCCUCCGCCACCCCCUCCGCCCUGCCUCGGACACAAGGGUCUGCACUGCGUCCAUUUCAAGAGGUGGCCCCAGGACGCGGGCAGCCCAGGCUCCUGCUGUUCUUGGGGAAGAUGAGACUGUUUCCCCAAAUCCCAUCCUUCUCUUUCCAACUUGGCUGAAACCCACCUGGAGACGCAGUUCACGUCCAGGCUCUUCCACUGUGGAAUCGUGGGCAAGUCAGUAACGAGCCUCAGUUUCCUCACCUGCAAAACGGGUACAGCAUUCCUGUAUGAUAUCUCACGCCGUUGUUGUGUAAACCACAUAGACUUGGUCAAUUCUCGAUCCUACUCUGCCCUCCCGUCUCAGCCCUCGUGUUGCCAUUGCCUCUCUCGGAUCCUCCAAUCCUCACGUCCUUCACCUGGUCUCUGGCCCUGGUUCCUAUUUUCUCUCAAUUCCCUACUGCCUGUUUCUUACUCUGAACCUGGAGGCAGCCUGCAGCCCCAUCCCAUCUCCCGCCCUCUCCUGAUCUAACUCCCUGCUGCAUCUCUUGCUCUCAUUCCUUAGACGUCCUCCGCUUUUGACCCCGUUCCUUCAUCCAUCCUGCCCCCCAGUCCCCCAGCCCUAAAUCCUCCCUCCUCUCCUCACAUUCUAGUCCCUAGCAAGGUAUAGAUAGCCUCUGUGUCUUAGGAUACCCCAGGUGCUGUUCCCCCGGUCACCCUGUUGCCCAGUUCCCCGUUUCUCUUGCUCUCAUUCCUUGUAUCUUCUCCCCUUCUGAGCCCAUCCAUUCAUCAGUUCUGCCCCCACUCCCCCAGCCCUAAAUACCCCAGCUCCUAAUCCCCCCCUCACCCCGUUGCCCAAUUCCCCGUUUCUCUUGCUCUCAUUCCUUGUAUCUUCUCCCCUUCUGAGCCUGUCCAUUCAUUGGUGGUUCUGCCCCUACUCCCCCAGCCCUAAAUACCCCAGCUGCUGUUCCUCCCCAUCACCCAGCCACCGGAUUCUCCAUUCACCCCUUUCUCUCACCCCUGGAGCCCCGUGGGUGGGGGCAGGGCAUGAGUUCCCCAGUCCCCAAGGAAAGGCAGCCCCCUCAGUCUCCCUCCUCCUCAUUCCCUUCCAUCUCCCUCCCCUCUGCCUUUUAAACCCAUCCCCUCCGAUUCCCCUCCUCCCCGCUCUCUCCCGAGUCGCAGGUGUCAACUCGAUUCCUGCGGCACCUCUGAGCCCUGAAAUCCUCAGUCUCCUUGGCGGGGAAGAUCGGCUUUGGGAACAGGAAGUCGGCACAUCUCCAGGUCUCCAUGUGCACAAUAUACAGUUUAUUGUAAAAAGCAGCAGCUCUCUGUUUCCUUUUUACCCCCUCAGUGGUCUCCACUUGGUUGGAGAACAGGGAUUUCCAGAGGCGGUGUUGUAGGAGGAUCCUGGGAGCACCCGUGUCUCCCAGGGAGGAAGGAGGAAGGUCUGUGGGCAGCCCUUGGGGGCCAUGACAUUCCUCAUAGAAAACACAGAGGUUGGGGGGGAACCCAUUUUGUUGGAAAGUGACUCGGGGCAGGGGCCCCUUGGGCUUUGUCAUCUGUGCUCUCCACACCCCCACCACUGCCCUGACCUUGACACUGGGGGCUUAGGGAGCAAUUAGACCCCUGGUGUUGGGUCAGGGAGUUGGGUGGUCCAGGGGCUAGGGCUGCCUGGUCCAGCCACCUUUUGCAAGGAUGGGUAAAGCUGAGCCUCCCCAAAGAUCUUGAUCCCCCGACAAGGCCCCCAAACCCUGAUAGCAAACUCACACAGCAGAGCCUGUCUAUGCUGGCGCCGGGCCCUUCUGUUCCUGCUGUUGUGGGCAGUCAGGCCUGCCUGAGGAGUCGAGGGUGAUCAGAAAUAACGUGUCCCCUUGGGUCUUUUGGUGUGGGCUUGGGAGAGGCCCCUGUGAUCUUUGCCCUGGGCAGGGAUGAGCCAUGGCAUUUCGUCACCUCUGUGUCCGGCCAGGGGUGGGGACCAGGACCAUAAAGUCUGAGGUGUGAGUGGGCACCCCGCCCAGGAAAAGGGCUGGAAACUGGGGACCCCAGGGAAAGCCCUGGACAUUUGGAAAGGACCAUGUUGAGGCGGGGGAUGGGGAGGGAUGGCUGGAAGAGAGAGGGGCUUCUCGGGGGUGGGAGUGGAGGGUCCUUCGCUUGGUCUGGCCUGUUGCCAGCUGCCCCUUCCACCGUUGUGAACUUCUCCCUCCAUGGUCACCUGCUCCCCGGCGCUUCUUGGCCCCCACCUCUUGUCACCAGUGGUGUGCUCACACCUCUAGCCUCCGUCCCUCCCUCCUGCACUGCCCCACCCCCAGUGGCUCUGACUUCCGCUGAAAGAGAGGGACCCUGGCUGAGGGCGGUCACUGCUCCAGGACUUAUAAGGGAGGAGGGUGGACAGGCUGCGCUUUGUCCAACUCCCCGUGGUCACCACGUGCCACCGACCCAACAGCAUCACCUCACCUCUACCCUGGGAUAGGCACUGUCCAGGCACUUUGCCCUGCUUCAAGGCAAAGUUCUCUGGGGUCCUUUUUAUAGCUGAUCCCUUCCUGGGAAGCUUUCAUUUCUUGGUCCCUCCUGACGAGGGAAGACGGGCAGCCAGGGGCCCGUUCCCUGGGAGAUGCUGGUGAUCUGGAUUCUGACGCUGGCUCUCCGGCUCUGUGCGUCCGUUACUACAGCGACACCGGGUGAGUGCUCCUGGGCUGAUGCUCCAGGUCCAGUGCUCCUGGGUGGUCAUAGUACACGCCCCUGCCUCAGGCAGCAGGGCUGCAGGUGGCCUCCUCCCCUUUGCAUGGCAAGGGGCUGCCACAGGGCUGGAGACCCAUGCUGUGACCUCAUCUUGCUUUGGGGGUGCUGAAGAGGUCACUUUGGAGACCUGUGGGUGCCUGUGGUUGUGCAGGGGAUGGUCUGCACACAGCUCCUGGCUGAAGGGCAGCUGAAAUCCACAGCUUCUGCUCUCCAGGCUCCCCCCGGGAGGAUGAAGGUGCUUUUGUCACAUAGACAGUGGUCUCUGCCUGCCCUCAUCCUGGGGGCUUUAUCUGCUGGAGGGAUGGGUCUUUCCAAACCUCACGGAGGCACUGCACAUGCUGCUAGCCCUGGUCGGUAGAGAGGGAGUCCAGAGGGGUGUGUGACAGUAUCAUCUCUUGACUUGGAGUAGCCUCAGGUGCACCCGGGGAAUCCCCACCAGUUAAAUGGCUGACGGGGCCAGGCGUGGUGGCUCAUGCUUGUAAUCCCAGCACUUUGGGAGGCCAAGGUGGGUGGAUCACCUGAGGUUGGGAGUUCAAGUCCAGCCUGGCUAACAUGGUGAAACCCCGUCUCUACUAAAAAUACAAAAAUUAACCAGGCAUGGUGGCGCGCACCUCUAAUCCCAGCUACUUGGGAGGCUGAGGCAGGAGAAUCACUGGAACCUGGGAGGUGGAGUCUGCAGUCAGGCAAGAUUGUGCCACUGCACUCCAGCCUGAGCGAUAAGAGCAAAACACUGUCAAAAAAAAAAAAGAGAGAGAGAGAAAGAAAGAGAAAGAAGGAAAGAAGGAAAGAAAGAAAGAAAGAAAGAAAGAGAAAAAAGAAAAAAUGGCUGCCAGUUGCAGUGGCUCGCCUGCAAUCCUAGCACUUUGGGAUGCCAAGGCAGGCAGAUCACGAGGUCAGGAAAUUGAGACCAUCCUGGCCAACAUGGUGAAACCCCAACUCCACCAAAAAUAUAAAAAUUAGCUAGGCAUGGUGGCACAUGCCUGUAGUCCCAGCUACUCAGGAGGCUGAGGCAGGAGAAUCACUUGAACCCUGGAGGCAGAGGUUGCAGUGAGCCGAGAUUGCAUUGCUGCACUCCAGCCUGGCAACAGAGCGAGACUCUCUCAAAAAAACACAAACAAACAAAAAAAGAAACAACAACAACAAAAAACAAACCGUGGCUGAGGGGCUGUAGGAGGAGACAGGGGCUCGGGGGUCCUUGCUCAGCCUGGUCAUGGCUGUGUCUGAGAGAUGACUCUGACCCGCUGAUUUCCCUCAUACAGAACAGACUUUCUGAUUCCUUUCUGGCAGGGGUGGACAGGGAUGAGGAGAGGCGAGAGAGGGAGACCUUGAGUUGAAGGCUGUGGGGUGGGCAGAAGGGGUGGUG